Molecule: transfer RNA, 74 nt
Filed under: Caudoviricetes sp.
Lineage: Duplodnaviria; Heunggongvirae; Uroviricota; Caudoviricetes
Description: tRNA-Trp
Rfam family: tRNA
About the family: Transfer RNA (tRNA) molecules are approximately 80 nucleotides in length.
Source: RNAcentral
AGAGGUUUAGUUUAGUGGUAAAAUAAGAGUCUCCAAAACUCCAGUCAAUUGUUCGAUUCAAUUAACCUCUGCCA